CUUUUUUUCUCAGUUUACCAAAAGGAGAAAGAGAUUGGGUUCUUGAUUUGUUGUUCUUUCUUUAUUAUUUCUCUUUUCAAUUUAUUUAUGCUCCUCUACUAGGGUUAUAGCCACUGCGCUAGGGUAUAUGCAACUAUGGUGAGAGGAAGGACUCAGAUGAAGAGAAUAGAAAACGCAACCAGUAGGCAAGUAACCUUUUCAAAGAGAAGAAAUGGGCUCCUCAAGAAGGCCUUUGAGCUUUCAGUUCUCUGCGAUGCUGAAGUUGCACUUAUCAUUUUCUCUCCCAGGGGAAAGCUCUAUGAGUUCUCCAGCUGCAG
This 317-nucleotide unclassified non-coding RNA is filed under the name Hevea brasiliensis (rubber tree). Lineage: Eukaryota; Viridiplantae; Streptophyta; Magnoliopsida; Malpighiales; Euphorbiaceae. The record is from RNAcentral.